CGCUUCCGAGGAGCGUUGCGACGGUCGCGCAUCAUAUCGGCCGCCAGGCUCGGAGCAUUCACUAUCCGGACGGUUCGAAGGCAUGUCGAAUGCCCGUUGAGCCACCGCAUUCGAACGGCGCUCACGUCAA
This 130-nucleotide non-coding RNA is filed under the name unidentified. RNAcentral describes it as "Candidatus Burkholderia SAH sequence". It matches the Rfam family "SAH (S-adenosyl-L-homocysteine) riboswitch aptamer". The record is from RNAcentral.